UGUUGUUUGCCGACACUCUGGUGCCAAGUGAAUGUUGUAUUUGGUUCCUAUUUAGGUGCAAACUAGAUUGAUUUUAGCUAACUACUCACCAUUAUAGCCUUUUCUACCAUGGCUAUGAUAGGUCCAUUUCAGUGGCAUACAA
Molecule: small nucleolar RNA, 142 nt
Filed under: Yamadazyma tenuis ATCC 10573
Lineage: Eukaryota; Fungi; Ascomycota; Pichiomycetes; Serinales; Debaryomycetaceae
Description: Candida tenuis ATCC 10573 Small nucleolar RNA snR80
Rfam family: Small nucleolar RNA snR80
Source: Rfam by way of RNAcentral